Molecule: ribosomal RNA, 253 nt
Filed under: uncultured bacterium
Lineage: Bacteria
Description: partial 16S ribosomal RNA
Rfam family: Bacterial small subunit ribosomal RNA
Source: RNAcentral
UACGUAGGGUGCGAGCGUUGUCCGGAAUUAUUGGGCGUAAAGAGCUCGUAGGCGGUCUGUCACGUCGGCUGUGAAAACCCGAGGCUCAACCUCGGGCCUGCAGUCGAUACGGGCAGACUAGAGUUCGGUAGGGGAGACUGGAAUUCCUGGUGUAGCGGUGAAAUGCGCAGAUAUCAGGAGGAACACCGGUGGCGAAGGCGGGUCUCUGGGCCGAAACUGACGCUGAGGAGCGAAAGCGUGGGGAGCGAACAGG